RNAcentral lists this ribosomal RNA (465 nucleotides) under Vreelandella stevensii. Its description in RNAcentral is "partial 16S ribosomal RNA". It matches the Rfam family "Bacterial small subunit ribosomal RNA", at positions 338 to 795 of the family's 1533-position model. Lineage: Bacteria; Pseudomonadati; Pseudomonadota; Gammaproteobacteria; Oceanospirillales; Halomonadaceae. The record is from RNAcentral.
CCUACGGGAGGCAGCAGUGGGGAAUAUUGGACAAUGGGGGCAACCCUGAUCCAGCCAUGCCGCGUGUGUGAAGAAGGCCCUCGGGUUGUAAAGCACUUUCAGUGAGGAAGAACGCCUGGUGGUUAAUACCCAUCAGGAAAGACAUCACUCACAGAAGAAGCACCGGCUAACUCCGUGCCAGCAGCCGCGGUAAUACGGAGGGUGCGAGCGUUAAUCGGAAUUACUGGGCGUAAAGCGCGCGUAGGUGGCUUGAUAAGCCGGUUGUGAAAGCCCCGGGCUCAACCUGGGAACGGCAUCCGGAACUGUCAAGCUAGAGUGCAGAAGAGGAAGGUAGAAUUCCUGGUGUAGCGGUGAAAUGCGUAGAGAUCGGGAGGAAUACCAGUGGCGAAGGCGGCCUUCUGGACUGACACUGACACUGAGGUGCGAAAGCGUGGGUAGCAAACAGGAUUAGAUACCCCAGUAGUC